This 90-nucleotide transfer RNA is filed under the name bacterium. RNAcentral describes it as "tRNA-Ser". It matches the Rfam family "tRNA". Rfam says of the family: Transfer RNA (tRNA) molecules are approximately 80 nucleotides in length. Their secondary structure includes four short double-helical elements and three loops (D, anti-codon, and T loops). Further hydrogen bonds mediate the characteristic L-shaped molecular structure. tRNAs have two regions of fundamental functional importance: the anti-codon, which is responsible for specific mRNA codon recognition, and the 3' end, to which the tRNAs corresponding amino acid is attached (by aminoacyl-tRNA synthetases). tRNAs cope with the degeneracy of the genetic code in two manners: having more than one tRNA (with a specific anti-codon) for a particular amino acid; and 'wobble' base-pairing, i.e. permitting non-standard base-pairing at the 3rd anti-codon position. The record is from RNAcentral.
GGAGACGUACUCAAGUGGUUAAGAGGGCACCCUGCUAAGGUGUUAGAUCGAGUAAUCGGUGCAUGGGUUCGAAUCUCAUCGUCUCCGCCA